GAUGAACGCUGGCGGCGUGCCUAAUACAUGCAAGUCGAGCGAAUGGAUUAAGAGCUUGCUCUUAUGAAGUUAGCGGCGGACGGGUGAGUAACACGUGGGUAACCUGCCCAUAAGACUGGGAUAACUCCGGGAAACCGGGGCUAAUACCGGAUAAUAUUUUGAACUGCAUGGUUCAAAAUUGAAAGGCGGCUUCGGCUGUCACUGAUGGAUGGACCAGCGUCGCAUUAGCUAGUUGGUGAGGUAACGGCUCACCAAGGCAACGAUGCGUAGCCGACCUGAGAGGGUGAUCGGCCACACUGGGACUGAGACACGGCCCAGACUCCUACGGGAGGCAGCAGUAGGGAAUCUUCCGCAAUGGACGAAAGUCUGACGGAGCAACGCCGCGUGAGUGAUGAAGGCUUUCGGGUCGUAAAACUCUGUUGUUAGGGAAGAACAAGUGCUAGUUGAAUAAGCUGGCACCUUGACGGUACCUAACCAGAAAGCCACGGCUAACUACGUGCCAGCAGCCGCAGUAA
Molecule: ribosomal RNA, 515 nt
Filed under: uncultured bacterium
Lineage: Bacteria
Description: partial 16S ribosomal RNA
Rfam family: Bacterial small subunit ribosomal RNA
Source: RNAcentral